RNAcentral lists this ribosomal RNA (480 nucleotides) under uncultured Flavobacteriaceae bacterium. RNAcentral describes it as "bacterial SSU rRNA". It matches the Rfam family "Bacterial small subunit ribosomal RNA", at positions 28 to 505 of the family's 1533-position model. Lineage: Bacteria; Pseudomonadati; Bacteroidota; Flavobacteriia; Flavobacteriales; Flavobacteriaceae. The record is from RNAcentral.
GAUGAACGCUAGCGGCAGGCUUAACACAUGCAAGUCGAGGGGUAACAGAGUAGCUUGCUAUUGCUGACGACCGGCGCACGGGUGCGUAACGCGUAUAGAAUCUACCUUAAACUAAGGGAUAGCCUUUGGAAACGAAGAUUAAUACUUUAUAGUAUGUUUGGAUGGCAUCAUCUAGAUAUUAAAGAUUACGGUUUAAGAUGACUAUGCGUUCUAUUAGCUAGAUGGAGUGGUAACGGCACCCCAUGGCGACGAUAGAUAGGGGCCCUGAGAGGGGGAUCCCCCACACUGGUACUGAGACACGGACCAGACUCCUACGGGAGGCAGCAGUGAGGAAUAUUGGACAAUGGAGGCAACUCUGAUCCAGCCAUGCCGCGUGCAGGAAGACUGCCCUAUGGGUUGUAAACUGCUUUUAUACAGGAAGAAACAGUCUCACGUGUGAGGCCUUGACGGUACUGUAAGAAUAAGGAUCGGCUAACUCCG